GAUGAACGCUGGCGGCGUGCCUAAUACAUGCAAGUCGAGCGAACGGACGAGAAGCUUGCUUUUCUGAUGUUAGCGGCGGACGGGUGAGUAACACGUGGAUAACCUACCUAUAAGACUGGGAUAACUUCGGGAAACCGGAGCUAAUACCGGAUAAUAUUUUGAACCGCAUGGUUCAAAAGUGAAAGACGGUCUUGCUGUCACUUAUAGAUGGAUCCGCGCUGCAUUAGCUAGUUGGUAAGGUAACGGCUCACCAAGGCAACGAUGCAUAGCCGACCUGAGAGGGUGAUCGGCCACACUGGAACUGAGACACGGUCCAGACUCCUACGGGAGGCAGCAGUAGGGAAUCUUCCGCAAAGGGCGAAAGCCUGACGGAGCAACGCCGCGUGAGUGAUGAAGGUCUUCGGAUCGUAAAACUCUGUUAUUAGGGAAGAACAUAUGUGUAAGUAACUGUGCACAUCUUGACGGUACCUAAUCAGAAAGCCACGGCUAACUACGUG
RNAcentral lists this ribosomal RNA (497 nucleotides) under uncultured bacterium. RNAcentral's name for it is "partial 16S ribosomal RNA". It matches the Rfam family "Bacterial small subunit ribosomal RNA", at positions 28 to 507 of the family's 1533-position model. The record is from RNAcentral.